CCUUCUAGAGUUGGGUUUGGGUCAUCAAAACCAUGGAGAACCUCCCAAAGUUGGGUUUGGGUCAUCAAAACCAUGGAGAACCUCCCAAAGUUGGGGUUUGGGUCAUGGAGAACCUUCUAGAAUUGGGUUUGGGUCGUCAGAACCAUGGAGGACUUUCCAGAGUUGGGUUUUGGGUCACGAAGGUCAUGGAGGCCCUCCCAGAUUUGUGUUCUGGGUCAUCAGAACCACGGAGAACCUUCCAGAGUUGGACUUUUGGGUUCUGCGGCGGAAUCGCCCGAAGU
Molecule: long non-coding RNA, 281 nt
Filed under: Cyanistes caeruleus (blue tit)
Lineage: Eukaryota; Metazoa; Chordata; Aves; Passeriformes; Paridae
Description: lncRNA (ENSCCEG00000000467.1)
Source: RNAcentral